Molecule: long non-coding RNA, 899 nt
Filed under: Setaria viridis
Lineage: Eukaryota; Viridiplantae; Streptophyta; Magnoliopsida; Poales; Poaceae
Description: long non-coding RNA (SVIR_LNC002688)
Source: RNAcentral
CGGCGCUUUCUUCUGCCAUGUCGUGCCUGCCCGGUGCCAGGUUCUCGCCCUGCUGCAUAUGCAUGGCUCUCUAUGGAGAGUAACCCUUUUUGUAGUGCCGUUUUGUAUGGUGUUUUUAAUUAAGCAAUUCUUUUUUUUUUCGCAAGUGCUGUUUUCUUGUUUGCUUGCAGUUAACUGCAUUCGCAAGAACGACAAUUGUGCAGAUAAGCGUCCAAGUCGUCAGCCGGCAGGGUUGGUGAGUAGAACGUACAUACUUUUCGAGUCCAAUGCAAUAACAUAGAAGCAUUAUUGUGGUACUCGACCGUAGUUGCAAGCAUUUGUAUGGUGUACGUGUCGUGAGCUGUUAUCUUCUUCAGUCAGCAUUCAUGUCAAAUUUGUUACUGUAGAUUAUUAAUUUAUCUUUUAACGCUAAUCGUGAAGGUGUACACAGCCCAUGACUGAAUCAUGGUGAUGGUAACCACUGCUCGUUUGACAAAGAAAACAAUGCUCGUUUGCAGGUGGCAGGAUGAACCAAAUGCAAAGUGACAAGAUUGCUUGAGCGCAGGAUCCUUGUUUGGGCGCCAUGAGCAUCAAACCAGCUGCUUUCCGCUUGUUUAGUCAUUUGGCAGGCCAAGCUGCGUUGCAUAUUUGUUUGUGUCGGCGUCAGAACGCUGUCAACGAAAGGCCUCGCCGUCGCCGGCGACCGAAAGAACGGCCUCGAGAUAUCCAGAUUUUUUUUAUUUUUUUAUUUUUUAUUUUAGUAUUUUGCACAAAUCUAUACUGCCGAUUGAAACGGCUAUAGCCAAAUGAAACGGCGGAAGUUAACCGGCAGUAAGUUCCCUCCUCUGAGCUAUACACUUUCAAAAACUCAUAACUAAUUCAUAUGAACUCAGAUGGAGAUAAAUUUUAUGAAAAUUGUA